GCUUGUCUCAAAGAUUAAGCCAUGCAUGUCUAAGUAUAAACAACUUUGUACUGUGAAACUGCGAAUGGCUCAUUAUAUCAGUUAUAGUCUACUCGAUAGUACCUUACUACUUGGAUAACCGUAGUAAUUCUAGAGCUAAUACAUGCGUAAAUACCCAACUGCUUGUCGGACGGGUAGCAUUUAUUAGAUUGAAACCAAUGCAGCUUCGGCUGGUAUUGUGUUGAGUCAUAAUAACUGUGCGGAUCGCUUUUUAAGCGAUAAAUCGAUUGAGUUUCUGCCCUAUCAGCUUUGGAUGGUAGGAUAUGGGCCUACCAUGGCGUUAACGGGUAACGGGGAAUUAGGGUUUGAUUCCGGAGAGGGAGCCUUAGAAACGGCUACCACAUCCAAGGAAGGCACAGG
Molecule: ribosomal RNA, 399 nt
Filed under: uncultured Saprolegniales
Lineage: Eukaryota; Oomycota; Saprolegniomycetes; Saprolegniales
Description: partial small subunit ribosomal RNA
Rfam family: Eukaryotic small subunit ribosomal RNA
Source: RNAcentral